Humulus lupulus (European hop) is the source of this 1533-nucleotide long non-coding RNA. RefSeq lists it as uncharacterized. The transcript is spliced from 6 exons. NCBI's taxonomy places the organism in Eukaryota, Viridiplantae, Streptophyta, Magnoliopsida, Rosales, Cannabaceae. The record is from RefSeq and is a predicted model, not a curated record.
GGAACAGGUGGUGAUGGAGCAAACACAGUUAACAUUUCGAUUGGAGCUUCGAUACUUGCUGCAGCUUGUGGUACCAAAAUUGCAAAGGAAAUCAUUCAAGUUCUUUGGCAUGUGGAAGUGCCGAUGUAUUAGAAGAGUUGGGGAUAGUUAUCGACCUGGAACCUGAGCAGCUUCUCAUCUUGUAAGAGUGUAACUGAACUAAUUAUCACAUGGUCAAUAUAUCUCCUGAUAACAAGGAGUUUCAAGCUGUGUCAAAGAAGCAGGCAUUGGAUUUAUGAUGGCUCCAACAUAUCAUCCAGCAAUGAAGCUUGUCCGCUCAGUCAGGAAAAAGCUAAAAGUAAAAACUGUAUUUAAUAUAUUGGGCCCUAUGUUAAACCCAUCAAGAGUACAGUAUGUUGUUGUGGGUGUCUAUGCAGAAGAUUUGGUCUUGAAGAUGGCUAAAGCAUUGCAGCGAUUUGCAUGAAAUAUGCAUUAGUUGUUCACUCAGAGGGCUUGGAUGAGAUGAGCCCCCUUGGUAAUGCGUCUAGUAGUUGGAAAGUUUUGACUUCCAUAAGCUAAUUUUUUUUAUAUACAAGUUUCAGUGUACAUAAUCUUCAAAACUACUCAUAAGUUAUUUGACACAGGACCUGGGCUAAUCCUUGAUGUUACACUAUAAAAGAUUGAGAAGUUCUCAUUUGAUCCAUUGGACUUUGGGAUUCCUUGGUGUACCCUGGAUGACUUGCGAGGUGGAGGCCCAGAGUAUAAUGUCGAGGCACUAAAGCGUGUAUUGUCAGGGGAGAAAAGUUCAAUUGCAGAUGCAUUUGGAUCGCUUUGGCUCACGAGACUCAACUAUCAGGCAAAGCUAUCAAGACGCUCGAUCAUUGGAUAGAUGUGUCCAAUGGGGUUUGAAUCUUAUUGUUGCCAUCUCACAUGCUGAACAAAGAGAAGUAGAUACCUGGCACUUCAUGCAAACAGCCCCUUGGCUGGGUUUACUUCCUAGUGCAUAUGGUCAAGUAUUACAUUCUCAAGAUGGUGGAGAUAGUCCAAUUGUCAGUUUCUUUAAAUCAGUCACUGCUGCAAUAUUAUCUAAGCCAGGAUGCCCAAAUCCAACCUCUUUUAGCACCCUUUCAAAACAAGCAGAAGCUGCAGGUACAGAGCUGAACAUUCAAUAUUUCGAAAGCUCAUUGUAUGUAUAUAUCAUCGAUUCUCGGGUAGUUCAAAUUGUCAAACAUGUGGUUUGCUCUCAUAAAGUUUGAGAUUCGAGUUUUCUUGAACAUCUACAUAGCUAUUCCUCAAAUAUUGUAGGGUUAGGCGGAGAGUAGUUUAAAUAUGCAUCAAUUAUCAAUACCCUCUUCUCAUAUAUUUAGUUCAGUGCUCUUUUGGGGCAAGAUAGUUUUAACACUCAUUGCUUGCUUUCUUUGCAACAUUGUUGUCAUGAGACAUCGUCAAGCUGUGCAGAUAUUAGUUUAUUUGAAUGUUUUCUGUGAGAAAUCAAAACAUUUACUCGAAACAUUUUCAGCCUUCAAUAAUGACGAUCACUUAAAUUCUCCGCUU